GCGGGCCACGCCCUCCGGCCCCUCCGGGGGCUCACGCGCAACGGAGGGGUGGAGUCUCCCUCCUGACCUUUCACCCCAGCAUGGCUGCGCCCUUGGGACCGGUGAAGUUCUGGCGACCCGGUACAGAGGGACCAGGUGUCAGCAUCUCUGAAGAGAGACAGAGUCUGGCUGAAGACUCUGCACCACCUGUUGUCUACAAUCCCUACGCCACCCUUUCUAUAGAGCAACAGAGGCAGAAGCUGCCGGUGUUCAAGCUUAGGAAUCAUAUAUUAUACUUGGUAGAAAACUAUCAGACAGUGGUGAUUGUUGGAGAGACGGGAUGUGGGAAAAGCACGCAGAUCCCACAAUACCUUGCAGAAGCGGGCUGGGCUGCCGAAGGAAGAGUGGUGGGAGUGACCCAGCCUCGAAGAGUGGCUGCUGUUACAGUUGCAGGGAGAGUAGCCGAGGAAAGGGGUGCAGUGCUGGGCCACGAGGUGGGCUACUGCAUCCGCUUUGACGACUGCACUGACCCACUGGCCACGAGAAUCAAGUUCCUGACUGAUGGAAUGUUGGUCAGGGAAAUGAUGGUUGAUCCAUUGUUAACAAAAUAUAGUGCCAUCAUGCUGGAUGAAGCCCACGAGAGGACCUUGUACACAGACAUUGCCAUUGGCUUGCUGAAAAAGAUUCAGAGAAAGCGAGGGGAUCUUCGAUUGAUUGUAGCUUCAGCUACUCUGGAUGCAGAGAAAUUUCGGGAUUUCUUUAAUCAGAAUGAAACCAAUGACCCAACGAGGGAUACUUGUGUGAUCCUUACAGUAGAAGGGCGAACAUUUCCAGUGGAUAUCUUUUAUCUACAAAGUCCUGUUCCAGAUUAUAUCAAAUCAACUGUAGAAACUGUGAUGAAAAUUCACCAGACAGAGGGAGAUGGAGACAUACUAGCAUUUCUGACUGGACAGGAAGAGGUGGAGACUGUCGUGUCAAUGCUGAUUGAGCAGGCUCGGGCGCUGGGUCGAACUGGGAUGAAGAGACACCUCCGGGUUCUCCCCAUGUACGCAGGACUACCUUCCUUUGAGCAAAUGAAAGUGUUUGAAAGGGUGUCCCGCAGUGUCAGAAAGGUGAUAGUGGCCACCAAUGUGGCCGAAACCUCCAUUACAAUCAGCGGGAUUGUGUAUGUGAUUGACUGUGGCUUCGUGAAACUCCGAGCCUACAAUCCCAGGACGGCCAUUGAGUGCUUGGUGGUGGUCCCGGUGUCCCAGGCAUCAGCCAACCAGCGUGCAGGACGUGGUGGCCGCAGCCGCUCGGGAAAAUGUUACCGCCUUUAUACAGAGGAAGCCUUUGACAAGCUGCCUCAAUGCACCGUCCCUGAGAUGCAGCGUAGCAAUCUGGCGCCUGUCAUCCUACAGCUGAAAGCGCUAGGGAUCAACAACGUCCUCAGGUUCCACUUCAUGUCGCCCCCCCCAGCCCAGUCGAUGGUUCAAGCGUUGGAGUUACUCUAUGCCCUGGGAGGUCUGGACAAAGACUGUCGCCUAACUGAACCGCUUGGCAUGAGAAUCGCAGAGUUUCCUUUGAAUCCCAUGUUUGCAAAAAUGCUGCUUGAAUCAGGAAAUUUUGGCUGUUCUCAGGAAAUUCUAAGCAUUGCAGCUAUGAUGCAAAUCCAGAAUAUCUUUGUGGUCCCCUCAAACCAGAAGUCUCAGGCAAUUCGAGUGCACCGAAAAUUUGCUGUGGAGGAGGGUGAUCAUCUCACUAUGCUCAACGUGUAUGAAGCGUUUAUCAAACACAAUAAAAACUCUCAGUGGUGUCAGGAACAUUUCCUGAAUUACAAGGGUCUUGUCAGAGCGGCGACAGUGCGAGAGCAGUUGAAGAAGCUUCUUGUCAAGUUUCAAGUGCCCAAGAAAUCUAGUGAAGGUGAUCCGGAUCCAGUCCUGAGGUGCAUUGUUUCGGGAUUCUUUGCAAAUGCAGCAAGGCUUCAUUCUACUGGAGCUUACAGGACUAUCCGUGACGAUCAUGAAUUAUACAUCCACCCUGCCUCGGUCCUCUAUGCGGAGAAGCCACCUCGCUGGGUUAUCUACAAUGAAGUUAUACAGACCUCGAAGUAUUACAUGAGAGAUGUGACGGCUAUCGAAUCCGCGUGGCUGUUGGAGCUGGCUCCACACUUCUAUCAACAAGGAACGAACCCCUCAGACGGGAAGCAGCAGACUUCAGAAGUCCAGGAGGAGUGAGGAGAACUGAGAAGCGCUGGUGGUUCAAGUCGGAGGAUGCGAGCAUUCGAGGGGGGUGAAUCCGAAGUUGUCUCACAUCCAUUUAGACUCUCGGAGAACGGGAUUAACCUAGAAGCCGAGUCAUUUUCCCUUCUCAUCUCAAAAUCACAGUUCAGGCCCACCAAGUUAGAGCAAAUAGCCCCGGAAGUUGGAAGGAAGUGACAACCCCCGAUGUCUGCGUUGGCCUCUUCUCUCCAGACGCCUGUUGUCCCACUCACUGGUCCAUUCCCAUCACUGCCUAUGAGCCGUGUAGUUUUAGAGAUGCCUGGAUCUUACAAGUCAUCUGGUGCCACAGCUUCAUCGUACGGGCAAGGGCCCCGAAACCCCCCAAGAACCUUGGCCCCUUCUUACGUAAGCAGUCCAUAGCACCUGUCCCUCAAAGCCAAAAGGGCCAAGGUCCAGGACCAGUGAGCGGAGCUCGGCUGCUCCCGCAGGGGGCUUAGCGCCCUCUCCUCUACACUGUGGUCCCCUGGCCCUGGGCGGCGAGCUGGCCUCAGCUCACGUGGAGUCUUCUGCUGCUCUGAAGUGGGCUGCAGCCUGUUCGUUAGCCCCUUCCUUCCCGCUCCCCUCGGCAUCUGCGUUCCUUGCUGGGAUCCCCGGGGCAUUCAUGCAUGGGCGGGCACCCCUCUGCGCUGCACGCAGGCAGAGCGGGAGUGGGCAGGGCCGUGCACUCUGCUCACGCAGCGCCCCCGCUGACCCAGCAUGCCACUUCCGACUGGCUCCCGGUUCUGGCCCAGCUUCGUUGUGGGGCACGGGGAGGAAAGCUGGCCACGGCUGGAGCGCUGGGCAGGGUGCACGGGGAGGUGUGUGGGGCUGCCUUGGCUUUCCCUGGCGGGGCCCCGGCAGUGCUGCCGGGUGUGAUCGAGCGUGUGUCUGCGGACGAAUGAGACGGCCCUGCAGUGUCCGCCAGCAUCACUGAGGGGCGUGGCUGGCCGACGCAGGGGCUCCCAGACCAAGCAGCUUCUGUUUUCCCUCUGCGCCAUGACCCUGCCUGUCUGCGGCAGGAGACUCUCAAGGGUUGGUGACCGACAGACACUGUUCUUUGUUAGCUCUCACAAGUGGGCUUAGCUUUCUCUGCGCGUAUGACACCACGGCCCGCCGCCGCUAGCUGAGCACUAGUGAGCUCGUGCGCUCACACCCUGGCGGGAACCUUCUGGCGCAGGAAUUCACAACAGUUUAGAGGCGCUAAGCUUCUGUAGCUCAGGAACAUAACUUGUAUAUUUGUUUUUUGUUUCUUUGCUUGGGUUCGGCAAGAACCCGGGGCGGCCCUCCCAGCAGGCCCUGGUUCUUUCGUCGCCCCAGGGCUUCUUCGUCGGGAUGGCAAUUGUGUUUCAACACGUGACCGAUGCAGGUUUCUCCCCUUACUGUUUCAGUGACCUUUAUUUAAAAAACACGUGGCUUGAAACUUUAUUUUUGUACUGAUCUUAGUUUGGAUGUGCCACUUUUGGCACCAAACAUGUAUGUCAUUUUUAUUUCCAUUUUGUAAACCUGUAAAUAAUAGUGGUAACUUGUUAAUAAUCGUAAACCUUUGUACCUCAAGUAAAUGUGUUCCCUCCUGCC
Zalophus californianus (California sea lion) is the source of this 3794-nucleotide RNA transcript. It is a transcript of the gene named DEAH-box helicase 35, with no coding region annotated. The transcript is spliced from 23 exons. The record is from RefSeq and is a predicted model, not a curated record. NCBI's taxonomy places the organism in Eukaryota, Metazoa, Chordata, Mammalia, Carnivora, Otariidae.